AGAGUUUGAUCCUGGCUCAGAGCGAACGCUGGCGGCAGGCCUAACACAUGCAAGUCGAGCGCCGUAGCAAUACGGAGCGGCAGACGGGAGAGUAACACGUGGGAACGUGCCCUUUGGUUCGGAACAACCCAGGGAAACUUGGGCUAAUACCGGAUAAGCCCUUACGGGGAAAGAUUUAUCGCCGAAGGAUCGGCCCGCGUCUGAUUAGCUAGUUGGUGGGGUAAUGGCCCACCAAGGCGACGAUCAGUAGCUGGUCUGAGAGGAUGAUCAGCCUCACUGGGACUGAGACACGGCCCAGACUCCUACGGGAGGCAGCAGUGGGGAAUAUUGGACAAUGGGCGCAAGCCUGAUCCAGCCAUGCCGCGUGGGUGAUGAAGGCCCUAGGGUUGUAAAGCCCUUUCGGCGGGGAAGAUAAUGACGGUACCCGCAGAAGAAGCCCCGGCUAACUUCGUGCCAGCAGCCGCGGUAAUACGAAGGGGGCUAGCGUUGCUCGGAAUCACUGGGCGUAAAGCGCACGUAGGCGGAUUGCUAAGUCAGGGGUGAAAUCCUGGAGCUCAACUCCAGAACUGCCUUUGAUACUGGCGAUCUCGAGUCCGGGAGAGGUGAGUGGAACUGCGAGUGUAGAGGUGAAAUUCGUAGAUAUUCGCAAGAACACCAGUGGCGAAGGCGGCUCACUGGCCCGGUACUGACGCUGAGGUGCGAAAGCGUGNGGAGCAAACAGGAUUAGAUACCCUGGUAGUCCACGCCGUAAACGAUGGAUGCUAGCCGUUGGUGGGUUUACCCAUCAGUGGCGCAGCUAACGCAUUAAGCAUCCCGCCUGGGGAGUACGGUCGCA
This 835-nucleotide ribosomal RNA is filed under the name uncultured bacterium. RNAcentral describes it as "bacterial SSU rRNA". It matches the Rfam family "Bacterial small subunit ribosomal RNA", at positions 8 to 890 of the family's 1533-position model. The record is from RNAcentral.